AUACGGAGGAUGCAAGCGUUAUCCGGAUUUAUUGGGUUUAAAGGGUGCGUAGGCGGGACUGUAAGUCAGGGGUGAAAUACUGCAGCUUAACUGUAGCAUUGCCUUUGAAACUGCCGUUCUUGAGUACAGUUGAGGUAGGCGGAAUGUGGUGUGUAGCGGUGAAAUGCAUAGAUGUACCACAGAACGCCGAUUGCGAAGGCAGCUUACUAAGCUGUUACUGACGCUGAGGCACGAAAGCGUGGGGAUCAAACAGGAUUAGAUACCCUGGUAGUCCACGCUGUAAACGAUGAUUACUGGUUGUUAGCGAUAUAUAGCUAGUGACUGAGCGAAAGCAUUAAGUAAUCCACCUGGGGAGUACGUCGGCAACGAUGAAACUCAAAGGAAUUGACGGGG
RNAcentral lists this ribosomal RNA (393 nucleotides) under uncultured bacterium. RNAcentral describes it as "partial 16S ribosomal RNA". It matches the Rfam family "Bacterial small subunit ribosomal RNA", at positions 523 to 918 of the family's 1533-position model. The record is from RNAcentral.